This 538-nucleotide small RNA is filed under the name Pongo abelii (Sumatran orangutan). RNAcentral's name for it is "retained intron". Lineage: Eukaryota; Metazoa; Chordata; Mammalia; Primates; Hominidae. The record is from RNAcentral.
GGCCCCCCAGAAUACAAGAAGCGCAAAAUCAAUAGUCUCUCCUCCAAGGAUUUCGAUUGCAUCAUUACAGGUAAUGUACUCAUCAUCAUUCCACCUCAUAAAAUUAAAAUAAGGGCUACCUUUUUUUUCACGUGCAGGAACUGAUGUUUUUAAUAUCUUAAAAACUAGCUGAGCAAUUUAAUUUUUAAAAAAUAUGAACCAUUGACAAUGCUUCAUGUGUUUAAAAGUAAAAUGGCCAUUUUACUAUUCUCUGAAAUAAGUAUAUUUCUUAUGAAUAUUUGAGAUCUAGCCAAGGAAAGAGGUAUUAGCUCAUAGUUACUUAUCAUUUCCUAUUUUUGCAGAAUUUGCAAAGUCUCAAGACCUGCCUUAUCAAUCAUUGUCCAUAGACACUUUUUCUUAUUUGAAUGAUGAGUAUGUAGUCAUCGCUCAGCCUUUUACUGGAAAAUGCAUUUUCCUUGAAUGGGACCAUGUGGAAAAGACCUUCCGGAAUUAUGACAACAUUACAGGCACAUCCACUGUAGUAUGCAAGCCUAUAGUC